GCUCAGGAUGAACGCUGGCGGCGUGCCUAAUACAUGCAAGUCGAGCGAAUUGACAGAGAUGCUUGCAUCUCUGGAUUUUAGCGGCGGACGGGUGAGUAACACGUGGGUAACCUACCUAUAAGACUGGGAUAACUUCGGGAAACCGGAGCUAAUACCGGAUAAUAUUUAGCUUCGCAUGAAGCAAUAGUGAAAGACGGUUUUGCUGUCACUUAUAGAUGGACCUGCGGUGUAUUAGCUAGUUGGUGAGGUAACGGCUCACCAAGGCAACGAUACAUAGCCGACCUGAGAGGGUGAUCGGCCACACUGGGACUGAGACACGGCCCAGACUCCUACGGGAGGCAGCAGUAGGGAAUCUUCCGCAAUGGACGAAAGUCUGACGGAGCAACGCCGCGUGAGUGAAGAAGGUUUUCGGAUCGUAAAACUCUGUUGUAAGGGAAGAACAAGUACGUUAGUAACUGAACGUACCUGACG
Molecule: ribosomal RNA, 471 nt
Filed under: Macrococcoides caseolyticum
Lineage: Bacteria; Bacillati; Bacillota; Bacilli; Caryophanales; Staphylococcaceae
Description: bacterial SSU rRNA
Rfam family: Bacterial small subunit ribosomal RNA
Source: RNAcentral